AGAGUUUGAUCAUGGCUCAGAUUGAACGCUGGCGGCAUGCUUUACACAUGCAAGUCGAACGGUAACAGGCCGCAGAGUGCUGACGAGUGGCGAACGGGUGAGUAAUGCAUCGGAACGUGCCCGGUCGUGGGGGAUAACACUUCGAAAGAAGUGCUAAUACCGCAUACGAUCUGAGGAUGAAAGCGGGGGACCGUAGAGCCUCGCGCGAUCGGAGCGGCCGAUGUCAGAUUAGGUAGUUGGUGGGGUAAAGGCUCACCAAGCCAACGAUCUGUAGCUGGUCUGAGAGGACGACCAGCCACACUGGGACUGAGACACGGCCCAGACUCCUACGGGAGGCAGCAGUGGGGAAUUUUGGACAAUGGGCGCCAAUGAUCCAGCAAUGCCGCGUGCAGGAAGAAGGCCUUCGGGUUGUAAACUGCUUUUGUACGGAACGAAACGGUCCGGGCUAAUACCCUGGGCUAAUGACGGUACCGUAAGAAUAAGCACCGGCUAACUACGUGCCAGCAGCCGCGUAAUACGUAGGGUGCAAGCGUUAAUCGGAAUUACUGGGCGUAAAGCGUGCGCAGGCGGUUUUGUAAGACAGGCGUGAAAUCCCCGGGCUCAACCUGGGAAUUGCGCUUGUGACUGCAAGGCUGGAGUGCGGCAGAGGGGGAUGGAAUUCCGCGUGUAGCAGUGAAAUGCGUAGAUAUGCGGAGGAACACCGAUGGCGAAGGCAAUCCCCUGGGCCUGCACUGACGCUCA
RNAcentral lists this ribosomal RNA (741 nucleotides) under Comamonadaceae bacterium enrichment culture clone JUMSS254PW-11(R22). Its description in RNAcentral is "bacterial SSU rRNA". It matches the Rfam family "Bacterial small subunit ribosomal RNA", at positions 8 to 749 of the family's 1533-position model. Lineage: Bacteria; Pseudomonadati; Pseudomonadota; Betaproteobacteria; Burkholderiales; Comamonadaceae. The record is from RNAcentral.